Molecule: ribosomal RNA, 380 nt
Filed under: uncultured cyanobacterium
Lineage: Bacteria; Bacillati; Cyanobacteriota
Description: bacterial SSU rRNA
Rfam family: Bacterial small subunit ribosomal RNA
Source: RNAcentral
CGAAAGCCUGACGGAGCAAUACCGCGUGAGGGAGGAAGGCUUUUGGGUUGUAAACCUCUUUUUUAAAGGAAGAAGAAAGUGACGGUACUUUAAGAAUCAGCAUCGGCUAACUCCGUGCCAGCAGCCGCGGUAAUACGGAGGAUGCAAGCGUUAUCCGGAAUCAUUGGGCGUAAAGCGUCCGCAGGUGGCUGUUCAAGUCUGCUGUUAAAGACAGAAGCUCAACUUCUGAACAGCAGUGGAAACUGGACGGCUAGAGUACGGUAGGGGUUGAGGGAAUUCCCAGUGUAGCGGUGAAAUGCGUAGAUAUUGGGAAGAACACCAGUGGCGAAGGCGCUCAACUGGGCCGUAACUGACACUCAGGGACGAAAGCUAGGGUAGCG